AGAGAGAGACAUGCGCGCAUAUCAAUAAGCGGAGGAAAAGAAACUAACAAGGAUUCCCUUAGUAACGGCGAGUGAAGCGGGAAGAGCUCAAAUUUGGAAUCUUCAAGGUUUUACCUUGACGAAUUGUAGUUUAAAGAAGUGUUUUCUGCUGAAGUUUUGGUAAAAGUUCUUUGGAAUAGGACAUCAUAGAGGGUGAGAAUCCCGUAUUUGACCAUUAUUUUCAGCUUUGUGAUACACUUUCAAAGAGUCGGAUUGUUUGGGAAUGCAGUCCAAAAUGGGUGGUAAAUUUCAUCUAAAGCUAAAUAUUGGCGAGAGACCGAUAGCGAACAAGUACCGUGAGGGAAAGAUGAAAAGAACUUUGAAAAGAGAGUUAAACAGUACGUGAAAUUGUCAAAAGGGAAGCGUUUGACACCAGUGUUGUUUUCUCGAAAAUCAAUUAAAAAUGGCUCGAUUUUGUAUUGCUUGAGACCUUAAAAGCUCACUGUACAUUUUUCGUGUCUUUUUUAAUGCACUUUUCGUUUAACAAGUCAACAUCAGUUUCUUUUGUUGUAAAAGGGUCAUUGGAAGGUGGCUUUCUUUUCGGAGAAAGUGUUUAUAGCCUUUGGCCUCUGCAAUCGGAGAGACUGAGGUCUGCAGCGUAGACUCUUCGGGGUUAGAUACAUUUGUGCUAAGUUAUAGCUUUUUAUAGACAACUUGUUGACUAUAAUUAGUCUUGUAGCUUACUCGCUUAUGCUAUUUUACCUACGCUUAGGAUGUUGAAGAUGUAGCACAUCAU
Molecule: ribosomal RNA, 775 nt
Filed under: uncultured Neocallimastigales
Lineage: Eukaryota; Fungi; Neocallimastigomycota; Neocallimastigomycetes; Neocallimastigales
Description: partial large subunit ribosomal RNA
Rfam family: Eukaryotic large subunit ribosomal RNA
Source: RNAcentral